AUCGAACGCUGGCGGCAUGCCUAACACAUGCAAGUCGAACGAGCGGCGGACGGGUGAGUAAUGUCUGGGGAACUGCCCGAUGGAGGGGGAUAACUACUGGAAACGGUAGCUAAUACCGCAUCCCCUCUGAUUUGCCCAUAUGGGAUUAGCUUGUAGGUGAGGUAAUGGCUCACCUAGGCGACGAUCCCUAGCUGGUCUGAGAGGAUGAUCAGCCACACUGGAACUGAGACACGGUCCAGACUCCUACGGGAGGCAGCAGUGGGGAAUAUUGCACAAUGGGCGCAAGCCUGAUGCAGCCAUGCCGCGUGUAUGAAGAAGGCCUUAGGGUUGUAAAGUACUUUCAGCGGGGAGGCGUUACCGGCAGAAGAAGCACCGGCUAACUCCGUGCCAGCAGCCGCGGUAAUUC
RNAcentral lists this ribosomal RNA (406 nucleotides) under uncultured bacterium. RNAcentral describes it as "partial 16S ribosomal RNA". It matches the Rfam family "Bacterial small subunit ribosomal RNA", at positions 30 to 526 of the family's 1533-position model. The record is from RNAcentral.